RNAcentral lists this ribosomal RNA (671 nucleotides) under Escherichia coli. RNAcentral describes it as "bacterial SSU rRNA". It matches the Rfam family "Bacterial small subunit ribosomal RNA", at positions 108 to 775 of the family's 1533-position model. The record is from RNAcentral. Lineage: Bacteria; Pseudomonadati; Pseudomonadota; Gammaproteobacteria; Enterobacterales; Enterobacteriaceae.
GAGUAAUGUCUGGGAAACUGCCUGAUGGAGGGGGAUAACUACUGGAAACGGUAGCUAAUACCGCAUAACGUCGCAAGACCAAAGAGGGGGACCUUCGGGCCUCUUGCCAUCGGAUGUGCCCAGAUGGGAUUAGCUAGUAGGUGGGGUAACGGCUCACCUAGGCGACGAUCCCUAGCUGGUCUGAGAGGAUGACCAGCCACACUGGAACUGAGACACGGUCCAGACUCCUACGGGAGGCAGCAGUGGGGAAUAUUGCACAAUGGGCGCAAGCCUGAUGCAGCCAUGCCGCGUGUAUGAAGAAGGCCUUCGGGUUGUAAAGUACUUUCAGCGGGGAGGAAGGGAGUGAAGUUAAUACCUUUGCUCAUUGACGUUACCCGCAGAAGAAGCACCGGCUAACUCCGUGCCAGCAGCCGCGGUAAUACGGAGGGUGCAAGCGUUAAUCGGAAUUACUGGGCGUAAAGCGCACGCAGGCGGUUUGUUAAGUCAGAUGUGAAAUCCCCGGGCUCAACCUGGGAACUGCAUCUGAUACUGGCAAGCUUGAGUCUCGUAGAGGGGGGUAGAAUUCCAGGUGUAGCGGUGAAAUGCGUAGAGAUCUGGAGGAAUACCGGUGGCGAAGGCGGCCCCCUGGACGAAGACUGACGCUCAGGUGCGAAAGCGUGGGGAGCAAACAG